AGCAUCUAAGCACGAAACUUGCCCCGAGAUGAGUUCUCCCUGAGACUUUAAGUCUCCUGAAGGAACGUUAAAGACGAUGACGUUGAUAGGCCGGGUGUGUAAGCGCAGCGAUGCGUUGAGCUAACCGGUACUAAUGAACCGUGAGGCUUAACCUUACAACGCCGAAG
RNAcentral lists this ribosomal RNA (167 nucleotides) under Klebsiella pneumoniae. RNAcentral describes it as "partial 23S ribosomal RNA". It matches the Rfam family "Bacterial large subunit ribosomal RNA", at positions 2776 to 2925 of the family's 2925-position model. Lineage: Bacteria; Pseudomonadati; Pseudomonadota; Gammaproteobacteria; Enterobacterales; Enterobacteriaceae. The record is from RNAcentral.